AGUGACUGCUGGUGAGUUCUUCUGAGGACAUGCUGGGUGUAGUUUCUUUAAAAAUACGUCAUGGUAUCAUUACAGAUGGCAGCAGUUAGGGAUUAUCCUCAGUAUUUAGCAAGAGCAAUCUUAUUUGGCUACAAAGCUUUUUAUUGAGCUUCUUGAGUAGGUUUUAUUGGAGGUUAUAUCUAUCAACCAAAUUAAAUUGAACUUCUCUGGGCAGAGUUCAGUUCUACCCCAUUUCAAACUGUGAGUGUUGCCAAAAAUAGAAUGUGUCUAUUAUGGAGAAUGAUCUUAAUUUUGUCACUAUAGAUACUUUUUGUUAAGGCACCUGUAAUGCUGCCCCUGCUUCUCCUGCACUAACUAACUUGGAGGGACAUAUGGAAGGAUUUAGAUUUCUAAUGAUUUGCCAUUACUUUUUCUCAGACGUUUGCAGCAACAGGGAACAGGAUCAGAGUUGUCUUGGCCAGGGAAAAGCUAGCAAUAGUCUAAAGGUCAGAGUUAUUACAGGUUGGUCGGUGUCAAUGACCUCUGUUUUCUGAGCUCAUCUAGUUUCUGUAAUAACUUUCACUCCUCUAUAGCUUGCACACUGAGAAUGUGGUCGUAAAUCCUAACUUCUGUUUGUUCCCAUAUGGUCUGGAAGGGAAGUUUUACCAGAGAACUGAGGCAUGUUGAUAAGAAGACUCAGAAGUCCUCCUUUCAAUUUGUCUGUACAAGCGCACAUUUUCAAAGACAUGAAAACAUAAGUGCAGUUAAGCAAAUGCCAGCAUGCAUCUUGCUUUCUAAAUUCUUUAAAUAAUAAAUAGUAAAAGGUGGAGUGAAAGGCACUUGAUUUGGAGUCUACUGAACCCUGCCUCUCUGCAUGAUCUGUCUCCACCCCUUCCUGUCUGGAUAACUGGAGUACUCCUCCUCAACUCCCAAUCCCAAAUAUCGCAGAAGAGUUGUAGCAGCAUUUGGGAACUGGAUGGGUAGCAGCAGCAGGAGGAGCAACACUGUCAGCAGAACUGGUUUUCUUCUUUUUGUGUUUAGAGAAAUCUAGCUGGUAUCUCACUGAACAGAAGCAGCGAGCUGGGCUAAAACAGAAUCUGGUACUCCAGGUAUGUGAUGGCAAACUGGUCCACAAAGACUGAGUUGGCAGCAGAGAAAGGCUAACUGUUAACUAUAUUGAAUGGGAGAAAUCUGAAACUGCUAAGCAAUUAGAAAUGACUCUUUGAAAAUGCACUAAACAUUGCAGGAAAAAAUCACUCUGUGAAAGAAAGACCUUUAUUUUGGUUUUAGUAAACAGCUGCACGAAGACAAGAAUUAAGGAGUGGCUAAGGUGUAGAAGGGUGUCAACUUUGGGAAAGACUGAAUUUCAUUCUGAAUAUCUGCUGUGAGCUGUGGCACAGUAGCAGUUCUGAGGACACGCCAUGAUUCCCAGCAUAUUUCCCACUGUGCACACAGGUCCAUGGCUCUGUUUAAUACUGAAAUAGUUAUUUCUCAUCCUAGGUAUUAUCCUUUAUUUAAUAGACGCCUUAAUGAUGGCAUCUAUUGACUUCAUCCAGCGUCGCCUGAAGGAAAUAAUGCUCAGCCUUGGGAACAAGCAGCUAUUUCUGCCCUGUUGUUUCUCCUCUUCCCCUGUCUGAUCCUCUUUGAGACUGAUUCUGUUCUGCUUUAUUUCUUUUUGACAGCAACUCCUAUAUUUCA
This is a long non-coding RNA of Struthio camelus australis, 1677 nucleotides long. The record is from Ensembl. Lineage: Eukaryota; Metazoa; Chordata; Aves; Struthioniformes; Struthionidae.